Molecule: ribosomal RNA, 253 nt
Filed under: uncultured bacterium
Lineage: Bacteria
Description: partial 16S ribosomal RNA
Rfam family: Bacterial small subunit ribosomal RNA
Source: RNAcentral
UACGGGGGGGGCAAGCGUUGUUCGGAAUUACUGGGCGUAAAGGGUUCGUAGGUGGCCAACUAAGUCAGACGUGAAAUCCCUCAGCUCAACUGGGGAACUGCGUCUGAUACUGGAUGGCUUGAGUUCGGGAGAGGGAUGCGGAAUUCCAGGUGUAGCGGUGAAAUGCGUAGAUAUCUGGAGGAACGCCGGUGGCGAAGGCGGCAUCCUGGACCGAUACUGACGCUGAUGAGCGAAAGCCAGGGGAGCAAACGGG